This 314-nucleotide ribosomal RNA is filed under the name uncultured Micrococcaceae bacterium. RNAcentral's name for it is "bacterial SSU rRNA". It matches the Rfam family "Bacterial small subunit ribosomal RNA", at positions 355 to 677 of the family's 1533-position model. The record is from RNAcentral. Lineage: Bacteria; Bacillati; Actinomycetota; Actinomycetes; Micrococcales; Micrococcaceae.
UGGGGAAUAUUGCACAAUGGGCGCAAGCCUGAUGCAGCGACGCCGCGUGAGGGAUGACGGCCUUCGGGUUGUGAAAUCCUCUUUCAGUAGGGAAGUAAGCGAAAGUGACGGAUACCUGCAGAAGAAGCGCCGGCUAACUACGUGCCAGCAGCCGCGGUAAUACGUAGGGCGCAAGCGUUAUCCGGAAUUAUUGGGCGUAAAGAGCUCGUAGGCGGUUUGUCGCGUCUGCCGUGAAAGUCCGGGGCUCAACUCCGGAUCUGCGGUGGGUACGGGCAGACUAGAGUGAUGUAGGGGAGACUGGAAUUCCUGGUGUA